ACCGCGAAUGGCUCAUUAAAUCAGUCGAGGUUCCUUAGAUGAUCCUUUUCCUACUUGGAUAACUGUGGUAAUUCUAGAGCUAAUACAUGCGGACAAGCUCCGACCCCUCCGUGGGAAAGAGCGCUUUUAUUAGUUCAAAACCAGUCGGGGUUUCGGCUCCGUCCUUUGGUGACUCUGGAUAACUUUGUGCCGAUCGCAUGGCCUCGAGCCGGCGACGCAUCUUUCAAAUGUCUGCCCUAUCAAAUGACGAUGGUACGUGAUAGGCCUACCAUGUUUACUACGGGUAGCGGGGAAUCAGGGUUCGAUUCCGGAGAGGG
This 317-nucleotide ribosomal RNA is filed under the name Pollicaria gravida. Its description in RNAcentral is "SSU rRNA". It matches the Rfam family "Eukaryotic small subunit ribosomal RNA", at positions 86 to 392 of the family's 1831-position model. Lineage: Eukaryota; Metazoa; Mollusca; Gastropoda; Architaenioglossa; Pupinidae. The record is from RNAcentral.